GGACACUGUAUUAUUCCUGGAUAAAUGAAAACAAAAAUAUUUUUUACAGUUCUCCAUGAAGACAGUGAUAGAAUUUUGCACAUGACAGUGUUUAUAUUUGUUCUUCUUUGGACAUCCACAAAGUGAGAUAUGUGGUCUCUGACAAGCUGGGAAGAUGCCAAGACAGAUUUCCUGUCUGUUCUCCAGUUAUACCAGUUCCCAGUUCCCACUAGAGCUCAGAGUCCCAACUGCUGGCUUCUGAGGGUGUUACAGACUGGGUCCUGAGUCUCCCAACUUCCUCGUUGAAAUUGUGCCCUGGGCCCUGAAUCAGACCUAAUUUUCUUGCACUGAGCAUCAUCAGCAAGCACCAGGCCUGUAUGGAAUGCUGUUAUGUGAUACCUCCUUGGAUUAUCAUAGCAGUUGUAAGAGAAGAGUACACGACGAGGAGAUUGAAAGUCAGAAAUAGUUUGGAAUUUCACCUGACAUCCCGGGACUUGUGAAGAGCUAGAUCUUAAUGCUUUCUAGCCAUCAAGUUGCAGAUGCUACCCUGAAGCCAACCUGACUUCCAUGAUAAAACCUGAUUUCCCUCACCAACGUGCUCUGGAACCUCCCCUCCACAGAGCCCUGCCCCACUAGGGAAAGACAGAAACAGGCUGGAGGUAUGGAUCUACCUGCCAACACCCAUGUCCAGUGGAGAAGCAAUGACAGAUGCCAAAACU
Erinaceus europaeus (western European hedgehog) is the source of this 698-nucleotide long non-coding RNA. RefSeq lists it as uncharacterized. Lineage: Eukaryota; Metazoa; Chordata; Mammalia; Eulipotyphla; Erinaceidae. The record is from RefSeq and is a predicted model, not a curated record. The transcript has 3 exons.